UWGWWWWUAGGGGUUCUAUCUCCSGMCCYCUUUUCCCCGCUCGAGCGGWWWMMAGGUGUGAUGWAUAUCUUUWGGGUGAACCCUUAGAGUUUGAUCCUGGCUCAGAACGAACGCUGGCGGCGUGCUUAACACAUGCAAGUCGAACGUGAUCCACAGCUUGCUCUGGUGAAAGUGGCGCACGGGUGAGUAACGCGUGGAUAACCUGCCCUGGUAUCUGGGAUAACAUCUCGAAAGGGGUGCUAAUACCGGAUAAGCCUACGGACUCCUCGGAGUCUGCAGGAAAAGGAGGCCUCUAUUUAUAAGCUUCCGUAUCAUGAUGGGUCCGCGUACCAUUAGCUAGUUGGUGGGGUAAUGGCCUACCAAGGCGACGAUGGUUAGCUGGUCUGAGAGGAUGAUCAGCCMCACUGGAACUGARACACGGUCCARACUCCUACGGGAGGCAGCAGUGGGGAAUUUUGCGCAAUGGGGGAAACCCUGACGCAGCAACGCCGCGUGAGUGAUGAAGGCUUUCGGGUCKUAWAGCUCUGWCAGAGGGGAAGAAAUGGGUCGUGCUAAUAUCACGGYUUCUUGACGGUACCCUCAAAGGAAGCACCGGCUAAYU
This 601-nucleotide ribosomal RNA is filed under the name uncultured Geobacteraceae bacterium. RNAcentral's name for it is "bacterial SSU rRNA". The stretch from base 79 to 601 matches the Rfam family "Bacterial small subunit ribosomal RNA", at positions 1 to 502 of the family's 1533-position model. Lineage: Bacteria; Pseudomonadati; Thermodesulfobacteriota; Desulfuromonadia; Geobacterales; Geobacteraceae. The record is from RNAcentral.